GUUUCCGUAGUGUAGUGGUAAUCACGUGUGCUUCACACGCACAAGGUCCCCGGUUCGAUCCCGGGCGGAAACA
Molecule: transfer RNA, 73 nt
Filed under: Chelonus insularis
Lineage: Eukaryota; Metazoa; Arthropoda; Insecta; Hymenoptera; Braconidae
Description: tRNA-Val
Rfam family: tRNA
About the family: Transfer RNA (tRNA) molecules are approximately 80 nucleotides in length. Their secondary structure includes four short double-helical elements and three loops (D, anti-codon, and T loops).
Source: RNAcentral